UGACACUCAAGGCUGUGGCCCCGCAGCGGAGGAAGCUGUGGUGGCGUUGGCGGCGUUAGUGGCGGUGGCGGAGGCUGAGCCAGCGCGAGCAGUGGCCGAGCUGGCAGCUGAAUUGCAACCGAAAAAUCUCCAGAGAGAGAAUUCUGAUCCUGAAGAAACUGCUGUUGGAUAAAUGUAAGCAAGGAGUGGAGCCAAGGUUUGCCUGAGGAGCCCUGCAGAGAACGGAAAUUCUACAAAGGAUAGAUGGUCAGUUUUGAGUCCCACUGAAUGAGGUCGCCCUAAUAGAUGGAAGCGGGCACACAAGCCCCAGGACCCAAAAUCCUUCAGGUUCUCUCCGUCUUCUUCCACCAUCCUGGAGCCUGGUGCAAUCCAAAACAAGCUCCCAGUGGAGACUCAAGAAGGGACUCUUGUCUUGAUGUUAUGCAAGCAUGAAGACAAAGUCUAGAAGAGGGAAGAAGCAUAAGAGGGACCCAGAUUCUCUCCCUCCACUCUUCAUGUUUUGAAGAUAAUUAUUAUAAAGUUAAGUUGCAGAGAUGGACUUCUUUUUCCUGACUAUAAAUGCAUCACAGUUCAAACCAUGCCCGUUAAAUCCCUAAGCAGUCCAUUUAAAUGAAUUUGAGGGACUCACAGAAACCUAAUGCUGCCCAUAAAAUUGCAGAAAAAAUUAGAGUGCUUUUUUGUUGUUGUGGUAGAGUUGACCAUUUUUAAUUUCCAGACUUUGGAGUAAAUAUAAGUGCUUCAACUCCCAUCAUUUUCUCAUAUACAAAUGUAUAAAUACUCCAUUAAUAUGGUAUAGUGAUUCAUUUAUUUUAAACAACAUGAUGAGAGAUUAGAUCUUGUGUGACUCUUUUCUUUUUCAGAUGACAAAAUAUCCCAAUGAAGACAAAUUUUAUAGAGCCAAGCCUUGUCUGUCUAUCCUCUUCCAGAUUAUUAAGAGCCAUUAUUAUCCAGGAGAAGCAAUAUAACUGUUCCACCAAUGAGUAACUUAUGUCCCCUAGACUGCAUUCUUUGUUCAGGGCCAUUGCUGAUGCAGAUUUUUUUCUGUUGAAAAUGUUCACUUUAAACAUCACAAAUCUAUGCCCAGAAUACUCUUCCUCAGUCAUCCUUUAAAUUGAAAGAUAAAAAGUCAGUGAGUCAAAGGAGUUCUUGAAAAGAAGGGAAAACUGUUUCUAAAGACUAUUCAUUCUAAGAGGGCUUUGCAUACUCACCUCUCAGGUGUGAGCAGCAGCUUCCCAUAUCUAGUACAGACAGCAAAUUUUGAUGGCCAAAAUUUGAAUAGCCAUUAGUUCCUGAGAUAAAUUUACUUUUAAUAGUAGUUAGGAACAUUGCCUUCUUAAGUUUUAUUAUUAUCUCUUUACUCACUGUUACCAGACACUGGGAUAAUUUAGCAUUCCAUAAAACAAUAUGAACAGAGGGUUUGGGAAAAUUGGGGCAUGAAAACAUACGAUGUGGUGUCAACUGUAGGCAAUGUUGAUCAUUUGUGUUUAUUUGGAUUCAUCUGUCCAUGUACAUUUGGCCUAUAAAGCCAACUGUUAUUCUGCAGAGUCUCUACUCAUAUUGCUGCUGUCACAGUUCAUGGUUAUCUUGCCUCAUGUCCAUUCUUUUUCCACCUUUGUAAGGAUUUCAUGUUGAUGUUGGAGCAUGACCUCUCACACUGUCGUCAUGGUUCUCUUAUUCGUGUGUAACCAUGAUACACAGGGCAAUUAAUUUUCAGUGUACUGAAGUGUUGGUUAAGGGAAGACAGGGGAUAUUGAUAAAUUCUUUAUCUUUUAUCAAUAAAGGGCAUUUAGUCUGAUUUUCUCAGUUUCUUUAAUGUGAUGAUAAAUGGAUGAAAAGUACACACAUACACACACACACACACACACACACACACACACACACACACACCAAUAAGUAUUGGCCAAAAUUACAACAAUCCUAUAUUGACUUGUUUCCUCUCUUCCUCCCUAGUUUCCUGACUCCUAAAUGAAUAGAAGUUAAUCAAAUAAUUAAACAGUGCUACUGAAGUCUUUGCCCUCACGAUUCUUCUCUGAAGACUAGGAAAGCAUCCCCAUUACCUUCUUUACCCACCACCACCCAUGCUCAACCACUCCUUCCUCCCAAUACUACCCCUCCUACAUUGAUGUCUUUGUGUGUGUGUGUACAGCUCUGUACAGAUAGCCACAGCUACUGUACAAUUACAUAAUUAUAUCAGCCCAUGUCACAGUCAAAAGUCAGCACACAUAGUACUCCUUCCCAUCAUUCAGCUCUUACAGUCUUUCUACACCCUUUGCCAUGCUGGUCUCUGGGCCUCGAAGGUGAAGAUAGUGAUAACAUACUUAGGGUCUAACACCAAAUAAUAACUUAUUUUUGAUGUUUUGACUUUUAUGACUGUCUCUAUUAGCCUUUACCCAUUUAAAAACUAGCUUCUCUGGCCAAGGUUGAGAGCAAUCUGAAGGCAUGAACAUUUUCAGGAGAUAGUUUGCAAUGUGUCAUUUAUCAUAAAAUCAUUAGUAGUGCCCCCUUAGGGCCUGUGACUUCCUCUGCUAUAGAUUUUUUUGCCAGGUUUCCAGUACCGGGUAUUUAUUCCUUCCAAUGAAGGUCUCAAAUCCAAUUAGAAACUAUUUGGCUACUGUCAAAACAAUCAGGCACUAUGGACCCCAUGGCCAGAGCUUGCCUAAGGUCAGUAGUAUGAAGGGUAAAGCCAGAAUUUAUUUGAAACUUCCAUGCCGUUGCUUAUCUUAGCCACAAAAUAAUAACACUGAUGUAAUCUAAGACAAGUGUGUCUCAGUAUAACUCUUCUCUUAAUUUUUCAAAUACCUCCUUUCAUUGCCUGUAGUCAAUGGCAGGAGUCAUGUCUCAGAACAUCCUGAUGAUGGUGGUGUAAUUUGAUUCUAUAAGGAAAUAGCCCAUGCACCAGAGGAAUUUACAGACCUGGCUAAUAGCUAAUAAUGGAACUCAAGAAGAAAAUAAGAAUAAAAGUACUUAAAGGUCAAAAAAGAGGUGAAAUAUAAGAUGAAUAUGAGAAAACUGACUGACUUGGGGAACUCAUUUGUACCUCAUUAUUAGAUGAUCUGGAAAUGACACUAAAUUCUUUCUCUCAUACUACUUUGUUGAGGUAGAUCCUUAGAACUGGAAUAUAACAAACUCAAUAAAAAAUCUCUGACUCCUCAAAAUGGUAUCAAGAAAGAAGUCAAAAGUAUCAGAAAGAUAGAAAUGUCAAAAUGAACUUAAUGUGUAAGAUUUAAGCACUCACAGCCUGAUACAGGCAUGUAAUAGAAAACCAAAACCAACAAGCUAAACAACAACAAAAACUAAUAAAAUAAAGAAAAGGAGAGAGAAUAACAAGGCAAGGGGAAAGGCAAGAAGAAAAGGAAGAAAGCAGAGGAGCCACAUGUAUGCUCUAGGAGGAACUGAGGAGUAGUUCACUAAUUUAAGAAGCUUGGUUCACUCUGGGUGUGCCUUAUGGGCUGCGGGUGAUGAUAGAGUUAAUGUUAUCAAGUUAGGCUUCUUACUAUCAAUAGAUGAUGGUAUAAUUGAAAGCGGAUGAAGCCAAGACAAUGACAACAAUGACUUGGUAUCAAGCUGUCGUGACCUUCAAGAAUCUCUGACCCUAGCUAGUAGGACCUGCUAUUCUCAGACAUGGGGUAGAUGUGACGCUGACCAAGAAGAGGAGAGAGAAAGAUGAGAAGCACAGAAAUGUGUUACAAACUGCACAUAUAAGAAAAUCUAAUUUUCAAUUCAAUCUCCACACUUCACGUCUCAAAAUCCAUAGCACUGUCACCUUGACAAAUGUAUGGAACGCCACAUGAAGUAUACACAAUAGAUAUCCCCCUGACUGUUUUUCACAAAGACCCGAGUAACUAAACACUGGAGAAUGGAAAAACACAGACAUUUCUAGGACAAUUUAGAUGAAAGACACCAGUGUCAUGGUAUUCAAAACAUCAUCGUGGUUCUCUAGCUAAGUGAGAGGAUAGGUGCAGUGUGGCCCAAGUCCAUUUCACAUUGCAUCCAAGUGUAUUAAUAAUCUACCUGUUGUUAUUUUUUUGGUUCCCAUGUGAAUGACUGAAAAAGAAAUAGUUAUCAGCAGGGAGAACCCACAUCGUAUGUAUGGCCUGAGGAAUAAAAGCCACUAAGGAAUCAAGAGCCAAGUGGAAGAUGCAGAAAUCACACUCCUAACUUAAGGAAAUUAUAAAUCAGACACAAGUCUGCAUCAUAAAAUAUGAUGAUUAGUGCCAUUAGUAGCAUUAAAUAUUUAAAGGAUAUAGAGUUGUUGGUCAACAUUACAUUCCCAUUCAAUUCACUAAGUUUUACUCUGUAAAAUGUAUUAUAUUAUAUAGCCAAUUACAGUACAUUAAUGUGAAUUUGUUGAAGAGGCAGUUCUAGUCACAGAUUCACAGCUACUGUCUGUUAUCAUCUGCUACAAAACCUGUUAUUGGGGUUAUCACUUUGUUAAAUACCAGUGGAUUAGCACAGACGUUGGCCUUUCCUAUAGGACUACUGACCUUGCAGGUACUCUCUUUACCUAAUUCUUAUCAGUAAUGAGGGCCCAGUUUAGCUUUUAUUCAUAAGAUGGCAUCUGCAGUACUCAUGACUCUUCAAGGAUAUGCUAAUGGAACUGUUCUUUGUUGUGGCAGAGGGUAUAAAGAAGCUGAUCAUUGUGACAAUCCAUAGACUAUAAAAGUACACCAGUAGUCAUGAUAGUUGACUUUAUGAACAGGAAAUGGGAAUUAUAGUAAAUAUUAUAGUGCAACAAGUAUCAGAAGUUUGGUGAUAAACCUCAUCACCUCAAGAGCAUUCUGACUUUUGGAAUUCCAAGCCUCAGGUAUUCAAGCCUUUGAAUUUUGAGAUUCAGUAUAACUAAUGAAUAUAGGGAGUACUGUAGUGAAAAAGUUACUGUGAGUCUCCAAGAAGUUCCUUGGGUUUCUGAGGAAGAGAAUAAAUCUCUGUAAAAGAAAAGUCUCAUUUGAACAAACAGUUCUGCCAUGAUAUGUAGUCCUACAAGCUGGUGACCGACCAUAACAUGCUAAGUGACUGUGCCACUGCAUUUCCUUCCUGUGUUGUAUUUUCAGAGUCAUUGUUCCAUACUUAAAUCACGAGCUGUUUUAUCCCACAGCUGCCACACCAGGGAGAAGAAACAAAGGACUUACAUAUUGAGAAGGGAAGGUCUGAGCCUCUAUUGCUUAAGCAAGCCAUUCAGACCAUCUCAAGAUCAUCACUUAUCCGUUUAAAAAUCUACCCUUCAACAAAUGCUCAAAUUCUCUCUCUCUCUCUCCCCAUCUCUCUCUCUCCCUAUCUCUUAUGCUCUAAUAUACAAAACUGAGUUGAAUAUUUUGCAUGUAUUUUCAGUAUAUAAUAUAUUUUUCAAUAUAUAAUAUUUUAAUACAUAAUAUGUUUAAUUUUCCUUUUCUUUCUAUAAAAUUAUUUUUCCUUGCAUGCUCAUCUAAUUCCCAUUUACACACACACACACACACACACACACACACACACACACACACAUAUAUAUAUAUAUAUGGAGUUACACUCUGAUAUUUACUGUAUGUGCUUUCCUUUGACUGUUAAUCAUUUCUUCUGAUGAGUAUAUUGAAUUCUUAAUUAAGAAUAAAAAAACAUAUAAGCAUGUAUUUAAAAGUACAACCUGCUAUAUAUUUUAAAUAUUUUUGUCCAUUUUCUUCUCCAUAACAUCUCAAAAGUCUUAUCUGACAGCUCCAAUAUAUAGACCAUCUGUAUUUCUAUUAACUAUUUUUAAACACUUGACUGUGCUCACAUUUUCCUGUCCCUUUGCAUAUCUGGAUAUUGUGGAUAACUUGUAUGAAAGUUGUAAGUUUUGAUGAAUGGCUCAAAAUAUGAGGUUUAUUCUGAGGCAAAUGAAUUGCUGUGGAUCAUGUAGAUUUUGUUGGGUGUUUGUAUUUCCACUCUGACAUUUGGUCAUUGUAGAGCAGGGUCCAAUGCACUCUGUUCCUCAUAGUGUCAUUGUGUACUUGAGCAGCUUAAAACUAGACCAACAACUUGGGGAAACGAUUGUGUAGAUACUAGUGACUUCUUGUGCUGCCUUCCUCUCUACCGUAUUUCCUCUCUCACACGUUCACUAUUUCAGCAUUUCUAUAUUCAAAUUUAUCUUUCCUCUGUCAAGGAAGGCUUCUUCUAUUUUUUAUGUUCUCUUGCCUUAUACUGCAGACCAUGAAAAAGUGAGAGCGCGAGUGAGUGUGGAGCUCAUCUGACCCCCUUCUCCUCCCCUUAAGUUGUGGGCUUCCACUGGUUGUCAUCCAAUGCCUGUGAAUAGUUGCAUUAUGUAUAUUAAUCAGCAUUUCUGUUUAAAAAUCAUAGCAGAGUAAUUCUCAUCCCACCUUUCCAAUUUUCGCAUUUGAGAACAGUCUGUAUGUGUUUCCUUGGGUGUGAUUACUGUCUUAUGUUUUGUUAACUUAAUCAGUGGCAUUGAUUAUGUCAAUAUUGGUUUCUUACAUUUUAUGGUCAGCAUUCAUUGUAUAUUUUCAUAUUAUCUUUCUUUUAUAUUCAGCUAAUUUGUUUAUUUCUCCUGCUAUUACUCUAUUAUAAAGAAGAACCAUAUAUAAUCUACUUAUGUAUUAGUAUUCAGUGUCAGAAACAUUGCAGUUCCUUACUUCAAUAAACGACACCAUGGUCAGUA
Peromyscus californicus insignis is the source of this 6625-nucleotide long non-coding RNA. RefSeq lists it as uncharacterized. The record is from RefSeq and is a predicted model, not a curated record. NCBI's taxonomy places the organism in Eukaryota, Metazoa, Chordata, Mammalia, Rodentia, Cricetidae. The transcript has 3 exons.